GAUGAACGCUGGCGGCGUGCCUAAUACAUGCAAGUCGAGCGAACAGAUGAGGAGCUUGCUCCUCUGACGUUAGCGGCGGACGGGUGAGUAACACGUGGAUAACCUACCUAUAAGACUGGGAUAACUUCGGGAAACCGGAGCUAAUACCGGAUAAUAUAUUGAACCGCAUGGUUCAAUAGUGAAAGACGGUUUUGCUGUCACUUAUAGAUGGAUCCGCGCCGCAUUAGCUAGUUGGUAAGGUAACGGCUUACCAAGGCAACGAUGCGUAGCCGACCUGAGAGGGUGAUCGGCCACACUGGAACUGAGACACGGUCCAGACUCCUAUGGGAGGCAGCAGUAGGGAAUCUUCCGCAAUGGGCGAAAGCCUGACGGAGCAACGCCGCGUGAGUGAUGAAGGUCUUCGGAUCGUAAAACUCUGUUAUUAGGGAAGAACAAAUGUGUGAGUAACUAUGCACGUCUUGACGGUACCUAAUCAGAAAGCCACGGCUAACUACGUG
This 497-nucleotide ribosomal RNA is filed under the name uncultured bacterium. RNAcentral describes it as "partial 16S ribosomal RNA". It matches the Rfam family "Bacterial small subunit ribosomal RNA", at positions 28 to 507 of the family's 1533-position model. The record is from RNAcentral.